CACAAUUUUACCAAACUUCUGAGGGGACCGACUCCAGUGCCUAUAAAGCAAAUUAAGAUGUGGAACUUAAGAAAUUAUGUAGCAGAGAGUGCUUAUAGAAUGUGUCCUUUGCUUUUGUGAACCAGACCACAGCAGAGUUUUUCUAGCCUGUUUCAGAGCAGCUCUCUAAACUCCCAUUUUUGGAUUGGUGUGAUUUUAGCAUAAAGGGCCACUGUGAGAACUGGAGGGAGGGGAAGCCAGUGGAGGGCAAGAGAAAUGAGGCUGUGUGGGGCACUGUUCAUACUUCUGAGGGACCAUGGACACCUCCCAGGAAAAAAAAAUGUCCAUCUUGUCAGGAAGAAUUUUUUUUUGAGCUGAAAGCUCUUGGAACUGAGAGAGUACAAGAAGCAGAGAGGAAUGAACCGCCAUGAAGAAACUGCCCCAGAUGCAGAGGCUAUGUUUGGGGCAUGUGGGGAGAGGUAGUGAGGAGCACAGGGCGUAGAUGAUGUCCUCUUCUGAAGGUGAUUGAGGAGUAACCUCUUAAACUGAAUGCAUCAUGGAUAGCUGAGGAGAGGGAGGUGGGAUUGGAAAGAGUAUUAGUUGUUCCAGUUAAGUACAUUAUUAUUUAUAACUGUUAUUAACUACUUACUGUGUCUUAGUAACAACCAUGUAGCACAUAUUAUUUUUGAGCAUCUUUAUUUAUCAAAUGCUGUUUAAUUGUUUAGUGUUAUUAGUCUUACUUAUUUUUUUCCUAAUAUAAUGCAUGACACUGAUUAAGGCAAAGGAAAGUUGACUGCAGCAUAGCUCACUUCUAUCUAGAUCCUAGGUAGGGAUAUGCUGUAGAGCACAAUUCUGGCAUAUUGGUGCUAUUUAUCUGUAGUCCUAUCCUACCUAGACUGCAGAGAGCAGCAGCAAGUAAUGAAUGGCUUUUAGAAAGUAUCUGCCUUUGAGUACAGUUCCUCACUCAUAUUUCAUAAUAUUUUGUAAAACCUAAUUGUAAUAUCUGAUUCUGCUUGAUUUAGUUCAGCCAGAUAUAAUCUAGAGAGAGAGGGUGUGAGCUAUAGUAAAAAUGUUUUUAACAUGUCUUUUUAAUUAAUUGCCAUUGCCCAAAAGAGACGAAUGCAUUCCAUCUGCCAUGUUUGUAUAGAGGGGCACGAUGAGUCUGCUGAGGUUUCUGUAGAAGAGAUUAUUUUCUCACGAUCCUUAAUAUAAUGGAUGAGCUGCUAAGGCUGAUAUCAGUAACAGUUGAAGAUGACCUCCUCUACAAAAUGACCUUUUGUGUAGGAGGGUUUGAACUGAGCUGUCUGCCAAAAUAUGCCUUCAAACUAUCUCUUCCUUUCUCUUUCCUGCUCAUGUUCUUGAAAAGUUUACUGUGCUGAAGUACUUUUUUACACCUUCCCAUUUCACACCUCUCCUGGCCCAGCUGCUGCUGUCAUUUGGCUUUACACCCUCAGGAGGAAUUCUGGGCAGAGCCGGUGGAUAGAAAGUGCUUUGCUUGCAAAAUACAACCCUCCCCCCAGAGCUCCCCCAACAAACACCAACACUACUCUGACACAGCUGACACUGUUUUCUCCAGCAACCAGACAGGGCUUGCUGUUUGAUUCUAUCUUUAUGAAAUGUUAGGUCGCUAGCAGUUGGCUUUCAUCUCAGCAUUGAUCCGAGGUGGAGACCGGACAGGGGUGUCACGGAUUGGUGGGGCUCAUGAGAAGUUGUAGAUUAGGAUAUACGUGCAGUUCAGCAUCACUCUUACUAAAAAUGAGGCCCAGAAGCAUUCCAGUGGGAGCAAAAAGGAAUUUUAGUGGAAGGCCUAGGAAUUCAUCUUGAGUCCUGCAUCUGUCCUCUAGUGACAAACCGCCAGCCUGCAAAACCCUCUAAAGUAUACUCUACCUCUCUGAAGGUAUUUCUUAUUUUCCAUCUGCUCUCCCCAAAAUAUCCUUAUGGGAUAAAUAUCUGCUAUGGCAGACUAGCCCUGUGAAGUCGAAUUCAAGGGAUUUUGCAUAUAUUGAAGUAUUUACUAAAUGUGCUGGGAGCUGUCAAACUGGGCAGAGCAGCACUCCAUAAUUCAAUGUAUAAGAACAUCAAGUGCUACUGCAUGGCCGCUUUUACAGAUUCAAAUCAGUUUUCCCCAGUUCUAACUGCUAUUCUCAUUUAUUCACUUCACUAAACUUAACCUCCUAGAUUGCAUUAGGGCAUAGACUGACACAGUUAUCGAUGAAAUCUUUCCCCACUAAGCUGCUAGAUUUAAUGUGAAUGCGGACAUGAGCAAUCAACCUGUUACUGCUCUGAUGACCAGCCUGCCUCUGCAGUAUACAAGGUGGCUUCUACACAGUUGUCUUUGGUCACCUCAUUCAGAAGGAAAAAAGCUAAGCAGGCACUGGGUUCUUCCUUG
Molecule: long non-coding RNA, 2368 nt
Filed under: Gallus gallus (chicken)
Lineage: Eukaryota; Metazoa; Chordata; Aves; Galliformes; Phasianidae
Source: RNAcentral